Molecule: long non-coding RNA, 14198 nt
Filed under: Citrus maxima (pomelo)
Lineage: Eukaryota; Viridiplantae; Streptophyta; Magnoliopsida; Sapindales; Rutaceae
Description: long non-coding RNA (CMAX_LNC000917)
Source: RNAcentral
UUAUUUUGGGGAAUGCGGUUAUCCUAUGGUUUGCGGCAAGUACGGCAUCUGCUCCGGCGGGCAAUGCAGUUGUCCUCCAACCUAUGUCAAGCCAAUAAAGGAUAGACAGCCUGCCCUUGGGUGCUCCCCGAUUACUCCCUUAUCAUGUGAAGCUUCCCAAAAUCAUAGUUUUGUUAAACUUAAUGAUAUCACUUACUUCACUUUUAGCUCAGACCUUACGAAUACAGAUUCGGAGAUGUGUAAACAAGCCUGUUUAAAGAAUUGCUCGUGCAAAGCUGCUCUAUUUCUGUAUGGUUGGAACCCUUCUGCUGGAGAGUGCUCCUUGCUGUCUGAAAUCUUUUCGAUGAUUGAUAAUGACAAGGAAAAGACUCAUUAUAACUCAACUGCUUACAUUAAGGUUCAGAACUUGGCAACGCUAAAGUGAGGAAAUAAGACGAGUCAUGAUAGGGCCCGGCUCUAGAGUAUCUCCGAAUCCUCAAGUGAAAGAUUUAAGUAAUUAAUGCAUUUUGUACUUGCUGUUGAAAUAAAUUACCUGUGUGUAAUAUUCAUAUUUUAUGUGACACUUUUUAUCGUUUCUUCUAGACACGCAAAAUGCUGGAAUUUUAAAUUUAUUUUUCAAAAGAAAAAAAAUGUAGAGGAUUUUGCAAUUGAGAUGCAAACAAUUUUUGCGUUGUUUUCAUUCUCGUCCUAUCUGCAUAUAACAAACAAUCUCAUUUUUUGGUAAACAAACAGGAAUGAAUUAAAGAAAUAAGUAAAAUUAGUAACGAAUUAAGGGAAAGAAAAUAUUAACAUUAAUUUUUAGAGGAAAAAUAUAUAUGACGUCCUUUAUAAGAUUUUACAUAUAAAUGAAUUAUUUAAGAUUUAGAAAUAUCUAUUUCAAAAAAAAAAAUUGUAUUAGCUCUAUCGAUAAAAUUAUAUGAUUUAUUUCCAAUCAUUCUCUCAUAAAACAACAAUCUUCAAAAUACUUCAUUAACUAUUAUAAAACCCAACUUACCUCUUAUUUUUGUUAAAAGACAAAAAAAAAUUCAUCAAGCUGCACCCCCAUUUUUCCAAAAUUUUUUAAACAAAAAUGAAGUAAAUUAAAGUUAUGGUAUUUUGAAAAUUGUUAAUCCACAAUGAAUAAUCCAAAAUUAACUCUCAUUUUUUCUACCUUAUGAAUUUGCUGAUGCAGCCAUCCUUCUGAGGAGAGCCUCAGGCUCCUGAUAUGCAUGUGGCUACUUCUGUAACGGAACCUGUGACGCUUAUCUUUUUGCUGUUUUCAUCGUUAGACAGCGUCGGUGGUAAUGGCUCCUGGGCAAAAAUUGGCGGAAGGGAAGAAACUUACAGCUUGUGCUUGAUGGAGGUUUUUCUGUCACUCAUGAAGGAUUGUUUGCUUUGCUUUCAUAGAGUCUAAUAGUUCUUCAUUACGCAGUGUAUUACGAAAACAGAGCGAGAGGCAUUAAAACAAGUAAGGAACCAGGCUAUAUGUAUGUUCUUGGCACUAUUGAUUAGAUCCCCUGAAUCAAGUUAUCCGGUUUCCAUCGCCAGCACAUUACACGAGAUUGUGGCCCUGAUGGACAUUUAAAACUUUUAACACUCAAAGGGUAAGCAGAAGUGUGGGAUCUCUUCACAAGUUAUUUUAGGGAAUUAAUGCGGUUAUCCUAUGGUUUGCGUGGAAGUAUGGCAUCUGCCCUGGCGGCAGGCAAGGAAGCUAAUGAAUGAUAUAGACAGCCUGCCGUUGGGUGCUCCCGGAUUACUACAUUAUCAUGUGAAGCUCCGCAAGAUCGCCGUUCUGUCGAGAUUAAUCGUGUCACUUUCUUCAUCUUUAGCUCAGACCUUACGGAUAUAGAUUCGGAGACAUGUAAUUGUAAACAUGCCUGCUUAGUGAAUUGCGCGUGCAAAGCUGCUCUUUUUCGGAAUGGUUGGAACUCUUCUGCUGGAAAUUGCUACCCAAUAUCUGAAAUCUUUAAUUUUGAACAAUGAAUAAUGAGAAGGAAAAGACUCAUUAUAACCCAACUGUUUACAUUAAGGUUCAGAGCUUGCCGGUGCCAUGUGCAAGUACAGGUGGAAAGAAAACGGUUCAGGCAAAUAAAUAUAUUUCGGGUUCAGCCUUGGAUCUUUCUUUGGCUUCUUAGUUUUGAUCAGUGUCUUGAUCUAUUUCUUUUGGAAGAAGAAAAACAUUGCUGAUGAAACUGAUCAGGAAGAUUAUUUGAUUUUGUCGAAAAUGAUCGACUGGGACCAGAAUUGUGACUUGUGAUGACCAUGAGAGGAAAUCCAGGCUAACUAUUUGGCUACGGGAUGGAAUAUCUGUAGCUUUAUUUGGAGCUGUAGUGUUGGAGAUACUGGGCAUGCGGAAAAUCUUUGACCGCUCUCAGGUGUAGGAGGAAGAGAAGUAUAAGCUAAGCCUUUUCAAGAAAGGCCAAAGCAGUGGAGGAAAAAUAGUCGGACAUGGUGGAUAAACACAGAAAGGAUAUACACUCAAAUGGAGAACAAGUACUGAAUAUCAUGAAAGUGGCUUCAGGAAAGUGAUGAUGAAAUAAUUGCAGAUCAACAGAAAUAUUAGCAUAAGUUGAUCGUUUGGAAGAAAAUGAUAAACCCACUACUGUGUUUUUGCCUUCAGUUUUGGACCCGGAAACGCUGGCUGAUUAAGAGCAGUUCUUUAUAAUUGGCAUUGAAGCCACCUGAAAGUUAAACAAUGUUCAGAUUCCAGAACCCGAUCUUCUUAUUUAAUUUGUCUUUGUUUCAAAAAUCUAAAACCACUUGACUAUAUUCUUCUUUUUUGUCUUUUUUUAAUUCAACACUAACCUCUUCUAGCAAUUCGAUUUUCUUCCAUGUUUUAUUCACCUCAAACCUACUCAGACAAAUUUUUGAGGCAUUGGGUUUUAUCACCUUUUUGGAUCCCCGUUGGGAAUCAAUACGCAAAAAAAAAAAAAAAAAAAAUCAAUCUCUUUUAGUCUUUACCGACAGCUUUCACUUUCAGCAACUUCCUGAAAAGAUUUUCAAUUAGUUUUUCAGUUCGAAAGGUGCCAAAUUCAUAAAGGGUUUAUCAUGCCUAAAACUAAAAGCUCAAAUUACAGUUGAGGAUAUAAUAACUUCUAUUAAGGAUAAAACAUCUAUUUUACACAAUUUUUAAAAACAAAGAAUUGACUGAGCAACAGAAGUACAUCGACCGAAGUGAUUGAUUACAGCGGGCCCCCAAAAAAAAAAGAUAGCAAUUUCGAAAAGCGUUUGAUUUAUGAUCUAAAAAGAUAGAUGCAAUUUGAAAUAUUUACUGCUAAAAUAUAAGUUGAAUAUGAUAAAACAAAACAAAAAUGGAAAUAUUUUGUAUUGUGUCACGGCCAAUAAAAUGCAAAAGGAAUCUACCAAAUUACCAUAGAUUUGGCCAUAUCCAGUUUCAUUUACUGAGUAUUAUCAGAGAUCAAAAUGACAUAGGAUGCAAAACAUAAAUCAUAUCAUUAUAUACGAAUAAUUUGUAUUCAAUAUAAAAGGUCCCAGAACCAAUAAAAAGUUUAUCUCAAGCUUUUUACUAGUGGGUCUUUAAUUGGUUGUUUAGUUUAGACAUUGAGAAUGCAAAUGGCGAAGCAAGCUGUAAUAGAUUGAACGCUUUAUUUUGACUUCUUCAAUGCUUCAAAUAUAUUAUUGCACUUUUUGAGGACUUUUAUGGGUCAUCUUUUGAUAAAUUGUAUUGUACUCCUUUAUUGGUUUUACACUACCAUGCACGGACUCUGCUUCUUGAGUGUUUGACUCACGGCAAAACUGAAAUGAAAAAACAGAACCUUUUUGUGGAACAUUAAAACAUGAAUAUCCUUUUUCUUAUGUCUAUCUUUUAAUAAAUACGUAUAGAAAAAUGGUAAGAGAAGAGAAAGUUGAGAGAAAGUUGAGUGAAAUAAUAAAGAAAAUUAUAAUCAAAGUUGGUUGGUGUGAGUGGUUCGGCACUCUAGAAAGGUAAGGGGUUCAAGCUCCGUUCUCGUAUGGAGUCACCACUUUAGCCAGUAUUUUACCCCUUAUGGGCCGACCCGGUGCGAGCGGGGAUUAAUCUGAAUUGUGGUACGGGCUUAAAAGUGCCUCCCACAGUUGGGGCCUACUCAGGACCACCUCGUGGUCCAAACAAAAAAAAAAAAAAGAAAAUUGUAGAGACAGAAUAGAUGGAUAGAGAGAGAGAGAGAGUGAAUUUCUCUCAGCUUUCUCUCAUCUAGGGAUGGCAAAAUCCGGGUCCAGGUCCGGGUUUAGCCUUCCUGGUUCCGGACCCGGACGCCAUUUUCUUUCUCCCGGAUCCGGAUUAAAACCCGAUUUUUUCACUCCGGGUCCGAUACGGGUUCAACCCGGAAAAAUCCAGAUUUCCGGAUUCCGGGUUUCAAACCCGGAUACCUAUAUGAAUUUUUCUUUUCCACUUCUCUUAAGGCCAUGGAUACAAUGGAAAAAAUGGUACAGUCGCAUAGCAAUUUCACCCAAAAAAGCAAAAGCAGCAGAAUGUGAAGCAAUGCAAUUAUAGAAUCCAACUACUACAACAAAUAAGCAAGCAAAAGAACACAACUUCUUCACGUCCCUGGGUUUCUCUUUGCCAUCAUCUUUUACGAUUACACUUCCCGGCACCGGCGCCGACGACGGAGGGAGAGGGGCACGAAUCUGGUGGUCAUCGGAUGGCUGAGCCUGAAGCUGAUAAGGGCGCCAGCAACAUUAUCGGAGAUGGACGAUGAGAGAUCAUCAAAGUUGAUGAACACGCCUUGCGAUGGCCUCCUUUGAUGGCGGCUUGAUUUUUCUGACAUUUUUUUCCUUUUUUGGACAAAACAAAAGUGAAAAGAGAGAGAGAGAGAAUGAAGCUUUGUAAAAAGAAGAAGAAGAAGAAGAUAGGCAAAUGUAUGGGGGAGUGUAUGGUGAGAUUUGAGUUAUUAUAUAAAGAAAAAAGAAAUGAAUUUGAGUGAGUGAAUGAGAUUUGAAGCCGUCACUGCAAACUAGGGUUUCCUCUUUUUUGACUUUUUGCUUUUUUAUUUAUAUUUUAAAAAAAUUAAAAAUAUAAUAUUAAGAAUAAAGACAUCCGGGUCCGGGUUCCGGAUAUGCGGGUUGGCCUAUUCCGGAUCCGGACUCGGAUACAUCCGAGUUUAUUAAAUUGCUUCCGGAUUCCGGAUUUUUUUGUUUUCGGUGCGGGUUGAACUCGAUCCGGAUUUUCCAGGUUCGUGCGGGUCCGGGCUGGAUCCGGGUUAUUUUGCCAUCCCUACUCUCAUCUUUCGCUCCCCCUAAUACCACUCGUACGUAUAUGGGCCCUGCCCAGUGGAUGGAUGAGUCAUGACUCAUGAGUGUGUCGGUGGGUGGACGAUGCAGAAUAGAGAUAAGGACACUGCAGGGUGGAAUUCUGUCCCUUUAAUAAAAUUUUUCAGUCGAUCUCUUAUUUUAUCAUUGAAAUACUCUGCAAGUGAAAAAAAAUCCUGCAGUCUCCUUUCCAAAUCAUUUCGUAUUACACUCUUCAUUGUAGGCGAUGAGUGUCAGUCGGAACUGGUGUUCUGUUCUUUUCUUUCUUAUUUUCUCUACGCCAUUUUCUUGCUUGGUUGAUGCCCGAAGUUUUGAUUAUCCGACAGCGAACCUCUCUACUUCAUGGACCAACGGCCCGUCAGCUUCUCAGUCGGUAGAUUUCAGGGACGGAUCAGCGGUGAGAGCCAUCCUUCUUAGGGGAACCUUUGGCCCCAGAUAUGCAUGUGGCUUCUUCUGCAAUGGCAGCUGUGACUCUUAUCUAUUUGCUGUUUUCAUAGUUCAGACCGAUAGUGUCUCCUUAAUCGUUUCUCCAGCUAGCGGAUUUCCACAUGUUGUCUGGUCUGCUAAUCGUAACAAACCUGUUCGAAUAAACGCAACCUUAGAACUCACUUCAGAUGGGAACUUGGUCUUGCAAGAUGCUGACGGAGCUAUUGCUUGGUCGACGAAUACCAGUGGUAAAUCUGUUGUGGGCUUAAACUUGACAGACAUGGGCAACCUCGUACUUUUUGACAAGAAUAAUGCAGCCGUUUGGCAAUCUUUCGAUCAUCCAAUAGACUCUCUGGUUCCUAGCCAAAAAUUGUUGGAAGGGAAGAAACUUACAGCUAGUGUUUCAACCACGAAUUGGACGGAUGGAGGUCUGUUUUCAUUUUCUGUCACUAACGAAGGAUUAUUUGCUUUCAUAGAGUCUCAUAAUACUUCAGUACCGUAUCAUGAAUUACUUAGAGCCACAAAAACAAGUAAGGAACCAAGCCAUGCUAGAUAUCUGAAUGGAAGCUUAGCUUUCUUCAUAAAUUCCUCCGAACCAAGGGAACCAGAUGGGGAAGUUUCUGUUCCUCCAACAUCAUCAUCCCCGGGACAGUACAUGAGAUUGUGGCCUGAUGGACAUUUAAGAGUUUACGAGUGGCAAAGAAUGUGGAUAGUAGUGGCGGAUCUCUUGAUGAGUGACCUUUGGGAUUGCGAUUAUCCUCUGGUUUGCGGUAAGUAUGGCAUCUGCUCUCGGGGGCAAUGCAGUUGUCCUGCAACCUAUUUCAAGCUAUUAGAUGAUAGACAGCAUGCCCUUGGGUGCUCCCAGAUUACUUCCUUAUCAUGUGAAGCUUCGCAAGAUCAUAGAUUUGUUGAACUCAAUGACGUCGCUUACUUCGCGUUUAGCUCAUCUAGCUCAGACAUUACGAAUACAGAUUCAGAGACAUGCAAACAAGCCUGUUUAAAGAAUUGCUCGUGCAAAGCUGCUCUUUUUCAGUAUGGUUUGAACUCUUCUGCUGGAGAUUGCUACUUACCAUCUGAAAUCUUUUCAAUGAUGAAUAAUGAGAAGGAAACGACUCAUUAUAACUCAACUGCUUACAUUAAGGUUCAAAACUUGCCAAUGCCAGGUGCAAGUCCUGGAGGAAAAGAGACGAGCCACAGAAAAAGAAUAAUGGGGUUCAUCCUUGAAUCUUUCUUUGGUUUAUUAGUUCUAAUUGGUAUCUUGAUCUUUUUCUUUCGAAAGAAAAAUGGUGCUGAUGAAAUUGAGGAAGAUUAUUUAGAUCAAGUGCCAGGACUACCCAAAAGAUUCUCUUUUGAAGAGUUGAAAGUCAUGACAGACAAUUUCAGAAAGAUGCUGGGUAAGGGGGGUUUUGGCUCAGUCUUUGAGGGGACACAAACUGAUGGCACAAAAGUUGCAGUGAAACGUCUCGAAGGAAUUGGUGAAAUCAAUAAAUCUUUCUUAGCAGAGGUGAAGACAAUUGGAAGCAUUCAUCAUCAGAACUUGGUGAGAUUGAUAGGGUUUUGUGCUGAGAAAUCUCAUAACCUUCUUGUUUAUGAAUACAUGCCGAAUGGAUCUCUAGAUAGGUGGCUUUUCCAUAGAUCAGAUGAGUUUAUGCUUGACUGGCAGCAAAGAAAGAAGAUCAUCCUUGAUAUUGCCAAGGGACUAACCUAUCUCCAUGAAGAUUGCAGGCAGAAGAUACUCCACUUGGAUAUCAAGCCCCAAAAUAUUCUGCUAGAUGGCAACUUUAAUGCCAAAGUUGCUGAUUUUGGUUUGUCGAAAUUGAUUGACCAGGACCAGAGCCAAGUUGUGACAACCAUGAGAGGAACUCCAGGCUAUUUGGCUCCUGAGUGGCUUAGCUCAAUAAUUACAGAAAAAGUAGAUAUCUAUAGCUUUGGAGUUGUGAUGUUGGAGAUACUGUGCGGCCGGAAAGUUUUUGACCGCUCUCAGCCUGAGGAGGAAGACAUGUAUUUGCUAAGCAUAUUCAAGAAGAAGGCAGAGGAGGACAAAUUGUCUGAUCUGGUGGACAAACACAGUAACGAUAUGUAAUCAAAUGGAGAAGAAGUAGUGAAUAUGAUGAAGGUGGCUGCAUGGUGUCUGGAAAGUGAUUUUGCAAAGAGACCUUCCAUGUCAAUGGUAGUUAGGGUUUUGGAGGGUGUUACAGAGUUUGAGCAUAACCUCCAUUAUAACUUGGUUCAUCUACCAAUCACAGCAGCAUUAGCAAACGUUGAUCAUAGAGAAGAAAAUGAUAAACCCACUACUCAAUUGUUGCCUUCAGUUUUGUCAGGGCCAAGAUGACAGACGGCUAGCAAUUAUACAUACUAGGGGUGGGCAUCACUUCGGUUCGUUUCGGUUUCGGGAUAAAUUUUCGGUUUCGGAUUGGUUCGGAUUUGGUUUUCGGUUUCGGUUCUCUUAACGGUUUUAUUUAAACAAUUAGUUUUUCGAUUCAUCUUAACGAUUUGGCUUUUAGUUUGAUUUUUCAUAUCAUUUUCUAUUUCAAACCAUGUACAAUAAUUUUCUUAUUUUUAAUAACUACAUAAUAUAUUCAGAGCAUGUACAAUACUACAAUCUACGAUUUGAUCAAUUAAUUUACAACUUCAUCAAUUACUACUACAUCAUUAAAAUAUAUCAACAUCCUCUUCAUAAUCAUCCUUCAUAAUCUCCUCUAUAACAUUAUUAUUUUCUUCCAUCUUGCACACAAGGCCUACUAUAAUCAAUGUAUAAUAAAAAAUAAUAAUAAUAUUUACAAAUUUGUAUUUAAAAAAAAUAGACAAGAAUUUUGGACUAAAAUGAAGAAUUUUCAGAAUUAUAGUUACUGUUUUUAACAUCAAAACCUUUGGGCCAAAAUGUAAAUAAAAUAAAAUAAAAUAAGUAUUUGUGCCGUCAUCAAAACAUUAGGGACUAAAAUGAUAUUUUAUCUUGUCAAGGACUAUUCUGAAAAGUUAGCAAACAAAUUAAACUAUAAUGGAAUUCCUCUAUGCAAAUAUUUCCUGAAUAUUGGGCCAUGCUAAAUUUUUAUAAAGAAAAUGAAUCUAAACGAUAUUAUCCUCCAUCAUCUUUAACAUUCUGCGCCUUCUUCAGUCCUCACCCAGCACUACCAGCAGCACAGUAUCCAAAUAGAAAAAUUGGAAAAACACAGUAACAUACUCAUAUUCAGGCAAAGCUAACAAAACUGAAUACUACUAAUGAUUUAAGCAAAUAUGAAAUAAAUAUAAAUCAAAGAGCUAUUUCAAAAAAAAAAAAGACUCAUUUAAAAAACAGAGCAAGUUAGUCACGAAUGAAAACAUACCCAUUACCUAACUGGCUAGCUAGUGACAGAGUAAGGAGAGAAUGGCAGCGGUAGGUCUACAGCAAGGAGAAGGCAACACGGGCAAAGGCAGAUGCGAGUUAGGUUUUGGAUUGUGGGUUCGUGGCUGUGCUGUGCAAGUGAGAGAGAGAGAGAGGUGCAAACUGGAAAUGUGUAAUUUGUGUAUGGGUGAGGCUAUUUAAACCCACGAAACAACUCUUUACACCCAUAAUUUUUCAAUAACUUUUAUUAUCAAAUUACCCAUUAUGACAAUUACCAUUAAGGACAGACCAAAAAAAAAAAAAAAAAAAUUAGUUGGUGAGAAGUGAAUGAAAAUUCUGCAUAAGCUGAAAAUAAUUUUCGGCAUCUUAUGAAAAUACACAAUCAAAUAGAAAAAUCGAACAAUAGAAAUAAUUGAAUUUGAUGAUUCAAGACUUAAAGGAAAAAUAGAGUCCUUCAUAUGUAUAACUAAUAGUUAAUUAAGCUAAUGAACUCUAUGGCAAUUAUGGCGAUGAAUGAAAAAACAUGAAGAAUUUUUUGCAUCUUGCAGUUAUGAUAUGAAAUUAUAAAGAUUUUCGUGAAAGCCAAUGGAUGAAAAAGAAAUGGACAAUUUCAAUGUAAACCCAUCUGUAAUAUAUUCAGUAGUCUGUUGCUGGCUCAAAAUUUUCAAUUUAUUGGUGCACAUCAUCAAAGUUUAUUUCUUCAUGGAUUUUACUAUUAGGAUAGUUUUUAAUAGGGAUAUUAUCAUUUUCCCACCAAAGGUAUUCUGACACAUCAUGCCAGUAUCACGGUUUGGUAAAACCAUCAAUUUACCACCAAACAUUUAAACUGUUAGCAUUUUCCCACCAUUCCGUUAAAACUCAGUUAAUAUAUAACAUAAAAUUUAUAAAAGGUCAAUUUUACCCCUGUAUCAUAAAAGACCAUGUAAUUAACCUUUUAUGAAUUUUGUAAUUAAAUCAUUAUUUGUUGUUCUUCCUUCUUAAAGGGCAAAAAUUACCCUUUAUGAAUUUUGUAAAAUUGACCGUAUGGUGCUAGGUACUUCAUAAAUUGAUUUAAUUUUUAAAGGGCAAAUUUAUUUAUUAAAUUGACGAGCUAAAGACAAUUUAUUCUACUACUAAAAAUCAAUUUAUGAAAGGGAAAAAAAAGAAUGUGCAAAAGAAGCAAUUUAAUGGAAAAAAAAGAAUGUGCAAAAGAAGCAAUUUAAUCUUUGAUAUGAUGAUAAUAAUUUUACACAAAAAAUUAAAUAAAUAAAUUUUCCCUUUAAAAAUUAAAUCAAUUAAAUCAAUUUAUGAAGUACCUAGCACCACACAAUCAAUUUUAAAAAUUCAUAAAGGGUCAUUUUUGCCCUUUAAGAAAGAAGAAUAGUAAAUGAUGAUUUAAUUACAAAAUUCAUAAAAGGUUAAUUACAUGGUCUUUUACGCUCCAGGGGUAAAAUUGACCUUUUAUGAAUUUUCCGUUAAAUAUUAACUGAGUUUUAACAUAAUGGUGGGAAAUGCUAACAGUUUAAACGUUUGGUGAUAAAUUGAUGGUUUUAUCGAACCGUGGUACUGACAUGAUGUGUCAGAAUACCUUUGGUGGGAAAAUGAUAAUAUCCCUUUUUAAUAUUAGCAAGGUGCAUCAAAGUUGUUGUCACCAUUCAAUACUGUAUAAGAAGGGGGAGGGAAGAAAAAAAGCGAACGAAGAUAAUAUAGGGUUAUUUUUUAAGGGUUCAUAGAGUACAAUUUUAUUUUUCAAAUUUACAUUGUCGGUGUUUUGAAAAAAUGGGUGCAGAAAGUAAAAUUUUGGGUUCAAAUAGCCCCACCCUUUGUGUAUAUAUAUGUUCCAGCAAAAUUACGAAAAUACCUUAAUUUUAGUUCGGUUUAAAUUUUAUAAUUUUUGAUUCAAAAAUCGAACCGAACCAUUUGAUUUAGUAUUUAUAAAUUCAAAUUUUUUGUUAUAAAAAAAUUGAACCGAACUAAAUUUUUCUCGAUUUAGUUCGGUUUUGCCAACCCCUAAGAUUACAUGCCACUUAUCCAUUCUUGAUUAGCAUUAAUAAUGCUUACCAACAACUUUUGUUUUUAGACUUAAAAAAGAAAUCCAAUUGGGCUUUACUAACAAGUUUCAGCAUCUUUCUUGAAAAAAAAAAAAAAAAAAAAAAUUGGCCCCAAAUUUUUGUAGGGUUAUUCGUGGAUACAAACCGGAAUAAAAGAAACUUCAAAUCUUUGAUAAGAUUGUAAAUUUCAUUAUCGAUUUAUUAUGCAAGUUUAAAUUCGUGGACCAAUAACUGCAGGAACCAUCUAACGUACGUAUGUGCUAAUCAAGAAAUUCAUGGCAAGUCUCAGUAGUAAUUGAUCUCAAAUUUGCAGUAUCUAGCGAAUCUUAUCAUUGACUGAGCUUUGGCCCUGAUCUUUUCUGCUUCUCAAGCAGAUCAGUGGCAGAAACAAGAAGAGGGUGCCUACAACAUUAGGGUUAAUCAAAUACAUUUUGCCAAGCAAAAUUGAGCGAAGAAGUCCAAUCUUAUGGGAAGUUAACUCAAGCUUUUACUAGUGGAUCUUCUGUAAGAUACAUACUUCUGAAAAAUGCAUGUUCUACACUGAUUUUGUCAGUCUUUAUUUGUUGUUUAGACGCUGAGAGUGUCUGUCUUUAGACAUUGAGAAUGUAAGUGGGGGAGGCGAAGCAAGCUGCAUUACAUUGAACGCUUUAUUUUGAUUUGUUCAAUGCUUCAAUUUAUAUAUAUAUAUAUAGUUUUAUUUCUCAGUACUUUUAUGGUGAUCUUUAUUAACUUUGGUAAUGUUUGUUUUUUUUAUCUAAAAUCUGAAUGAAUUUGAUUAUUUGAAUUUGGUUGAACUCUAAAUAGAUCUGAAUACAUAUAUCUAAAUGAUAUAUAUAUAUAUAUAUAUAUAUAUUAAUAUCUGAAUACAAGUGUUAAGUUAUUUGUUUUUCAAAAAGAAAACAUCUGAGAUAUGAUACUUUGGUAUAUAUAACUUCAUAAAUAAUAACAAUACUUAUAUUUGUUGGUUAAACAUAUCACAAGUUAUAAAUAAAUUAUUUGAUUAGUAAAAAAAAAAUUGAUGGUGUUUACGUUAACGAAGCAAGAAAAAUAAAAUAUACAUCUAACAUAUGUAUUUUUUUACAUUAAUAUAUAAUACUUAUAAUGUUAUUUUUAGUACAUUAUAUUGAUAUAAUAGUUGAAUAGUUGAAUACACAUAUAAAACAACAAAAGGGGAUAAAUAAAAAAAUAAUAAAAGGAUAAUUUAUAUGAUAGGAAAUAAAUUUAUUUAAUAGGGGUUAUUAAUGAGAUAGAAUAUUAAAGUUCCAUUUAGACAAAAGUUAAAAUAUUUAACAAUUUUUCAUUCAGACAUAAACAUCUUAUAAUCAGACACAAGUGAUAAAAAAAACAAAUAAAAUUUGUAAAUGUCUGAAAAUAAUUAAAAUUCAAACUUGAGACAAAAUCAAACAAUCCAUUACUCUUUUGUUGCUUUUUUUUUAUUACUAACAAUUUUCUAGAAUUAUCUAGAUCAAAUCUAUUAUAACAUAGUUUAAAUUUCUACUUCCACUGGUAUUAAGGAAAAAAAAAUAUACUCCAUUAGUAUUUGUACAGAAAUGUCUAUCUCUAAAUUCCAUAAUUAAAAAGUGAGAAAAAUACCUUAAAACAAUUAUUUAAGUGGAAGGUGAAUAGAAUUCUAAUUAUAUGAUUAAGGAAAGAGUAACCUUUGAGUUGAACUUGCCCUUAGAAGCUUUGAAGGCUAGGGUUACCAAUGGGGGGUAGCCCAUUGGCCUCCUUUAUUACUUUUAAACUGUGGAUGCAUCGAGUCUCUUUCUUGUAGAAGGAUUUGACCAAGGCAAAAACAAAAACAUAACUUGUCAACCUUCUCAUUGCCCUGUUUUUCAAAAUUCGUCUAUGGGCCUUGAGCUUGUGGGCGGGGGAAGGCACAUAGAACGAGACUAGAGGGGUUUGACUUUUUGUUCUAUAAAUAAGUUUUCCAAUCAACCAAUUGUUGUAUAAUUGAAUCAUUCUGCAGUAAACCAAAUCCUGCAAUCUCCCUUUCAAGUCGUCCUGUUUAUUCCGAAUUGUGCUGCACAUUUUGGGAGAUGAGUGUUAGCUGGAACUGGUGCUCUGUUCUUUUCUUUCUUAUUUUCUCUAUUACGUUUUCUUUCUUGGUUGAUGCCCGAAGCCAAAGUUUUGAUUAUCCGACAGCAAAACUCUCAACUAAAUGGGUCAACAGCCCGUCAGCUCCUCAUUCCGUAGCUUUCACGGACGGAUCAACGGUGAGAGCCAUCCUUCUUAGGGGAACCUUUGGCCCCAGAUAUGCAUGUGGCUUCUUCUGUAACGGAGCCUGCGACACUUAUCUAUUUGCUGUUUUCAUAGUUCAAACCAACAGUGCUUCCUCAAUCGUUGCGCCAGCAAUCGGAUUCCCACAGGUCGUCUGGGCUGCUAACCGUAACAAUCCUGUUCGGAUAAAUGCAACCUUAGAACUCACUUCAAGUGGGAACUUGGUUUUGCGAGAUGCUGACGGGACUGUAGCUUGGUCGACGAAUACUAAUGGUAAAUCUGUUGUGGGCUUAAACUUGACAGACACGGGCAACCUUGUACUUUUCAACAAGAAAAAUGCAGCAGUUUGGCAAUCUUUCGAUCAUCCGACAGACUCGCUGGUUCCUGGGCAAAAAUUGGUGGAAGGGAAGAAACUUACAGCUAGUGUUUCAACCACGAAUUGGAUGGAUGGGGGUUUGUUUUCACUUUCUGUCACUAAGAAAGGAUUGUUUGCAUCCAUAGAGUCUAAUAAUACUCCAGUACCGUACUAUGAAUAUAGAGUCGGUGGCACGAAAACAAGAAAGCAACCAAGCUAUGUUAGAUAUCUGAAUGGAAGCUUAGCUUUAUUCAUAAAUUUAUCGGAACCAAGUGAGCCAGAAGGGGCACUUUCUGUUCCCCCGGCAUCAUCAUCGCCGGGACAGUACAUGAGAUUGGGGCCUGAUGGACAUUUAAGAGUUUACGAGUGGCAAGCAUCGAAAGGGUGGACACAAGUGGCGGAUCUCUUGACAAGUUAUUUUGGGGAAUGCGGUUUUCCUAUGGUUUGCGGCAAGUACGGCAUCUGCUCCGGCGGGCAAUGCAGUUGUCCUCCAACCUAUUUCAAGCCAAUAAAGGAUAGACAGCCUGCCCUUGGGUGCUCCCCGAUUACUCCCUUAUCAUGUGAAGCUUCCCAAAAUCAUAGUUUUGUUGAACUUAAUGAUAUCACUUACUUCACUUUU